AGCAACUUGGAGGAAUGUAUAGGGAAAACUGGUAAAAUGUGAUGUACCUAAUAGUAUUAGUGAUUAAUAUGAAAUUAACUAAGUUAAUUAAAAUUCGAAGUAGAUAUAUGAUUAUGACAAUAUUUGCUUAUUUCUUGACCAAGUCACGUGCCAGCAGUCGCGGUAAUACGUGGUAGAUCAGUGUUAUUCAUCUUUAAUAGGUUUAAAGGGUACCUAGACGGUUAAUUAAGCAUAUUUGUGUACUAAUUAUUAACUAGAGUUUAAUGUAAGAAGGAUUGAGUACGGUGAGUGUAGAGAUAAAAUUCUGUCAUACCACUUAGGAACUGGUAAAGGCGAAGGCAACCUUUUAUGUAAAAACUGACGUUAAGGGACGAAGGCUCGUAUUAAGUAAUAGGAUUAGAGACCCUAGUAUUGUGGGCAGACAAUGAUGAGUGUCAUAUGCAAGAUAAAUUUUGUGUAUAAAUGAAAGUGUAAGCACUCCACCUCAAGAGUAACGUGGCAACAUGGGAACUGAAAUCAUUAGACCGUUUCUGAAACUCGUAGUGAAGUAUGUUGUUUAAUUUGAUAAUCCACAAAUAACCUUACCACAAUUUGUAUUACUGGUAUAAAUAAGUAACUAGUAACAAGCGUUGCACGGCUGUCUUCAGUCAAUGUUGUGAAACUUUGGUUAGAUCCAUUAAAUUGACGUAAACCCUUGCUUUAUUUGUUAUAAAGUAGUUCGCCGCUAUAUUGGUAGUGAUAUAAGGGACUAAGACA
This 756-nucleotide ribosomal RNA is filed under the name Pallidogramme chlorocarpoides. RNAcentral's name for it is "SSU rRNA". It matches the Rfam family "Bacterial small subunit ribosomal RNA", at positions 347 to 1187 of the family's 1533-position model. The record is from RNAcentral. Lineage: Eukaryota; Fungi; Ascomycota; Lecanoromycetes; Ostropales; Graphidaceae.